AUACAGUUAGAUCUCCAUUAUCUUUUUCAGGGAAUCCGAGCCCGAAUUUUAGAAACUCUGGUCAUGCUUGUCCUGCUUGCGCUCCUCAUCCUGGGGAUGGUGUGGGUGGCCUCCGCGCUCGUUGACAAGGACGCCGCGAGCAUGGAGUCUUUGUACGAUCUCUGGGAGUUCUACCUACCCUAUUUAUAUUCCUGUAUAUCUCGGACGGGAUGUUUGUUACUUCUCUUGUGUACCCCUGUUGGCCUUUCCCGCAUGUUCACAGUGAUGGGUCAGUUGCUGGUGAAGCCAACAACUCAGGUCUGAAUGACUCACAGCCUCUUCCCUCGUCCGCUGACCUCCAGCCUGUGCUCCUGCCCCCGCGGCUCGGACUGCACGGUCGCUGCUAAUGGGCUGUGCUCCCAACGGGCCGCGUGCUUUCACUUAGCAGGCGUGUCCGGGGCUUUCUCCUGUCAGUGCCCCCUGCCUGCUGCAGCCGCCUGACCGCCUCCUCAAGGCCUGGCUCUGAUGUUGCUGCACCCACUGCCUACUCUUGAACCUUGCCUCACCUCUUCUUUAAGUUGAGAUAAUCAAGCUCCUUUCUCUGCACUUUUCAUAUUCCCCUUUGUUAGUACCUAUUAAAUUAUUUUGGUUAUA
Zalophus californianus (California sea lion) is the source of this 633-nucleotide long non-coding RNA. RefSeq lists it as uncharacterized. Lineage: Eukaryota; Metazoa; Chordata; Mammalia; Carnivora; Otariidae. The transcript is spliced from 4 exons. The record is from RefSeq and is a predicted model, not a curated record.